UACGAAGGGGGCUAGCGUUAAUCGGAAUUACUGGGCGUAAAGUGUGCGCAGGCGGUGAUGUAAGACAGUUGUGAAAUCCCCGGGCUCAACCUGGGAACUGCAUCUGUGACUGCAUCGCUGGAGUGCGGCAGAGGGGGAUGGAAUUCCGCGUGUAGCAGUGAAAUGCGUAGAUAUGCGGAGGAACACCGAUGGCGAAGGCAAUCCCCUGGGCCUGCACUGACGCUCAUGCACGAAAGCGUGGGGAGCAAACAGG
RNAcentral lists this ribosomal RNA (253 nucleotides) under uncultured bacterium. RNAcentral describes it as "partial 16S ribosomal RNA". It matches the Rfam family "Bacterial small subunit ribosomal RNA", at positions 524 to 776 of the family's 1533-position model. The record is from RNAcentral.